CAGCCGCCGCGGGAAUACGGAGGGGGCUAGCGUUGUUCGGAAUUACUGGGCGUAAAGCGCACGUAGGCGGCUUGGUAAGUUAGAGGUGAAAGCCUGGAGCUCAACUCCAGAAUUGCCUUUAAGACUGCCGAGCUAGCAGGUGAGAGAGGUAAGUGGAAUUCCGAGUGUAGAGGUGAAAUUCGUAGAUAUUCGGAAGAACACCAGUGGCGAAGGCGGCUUACUGGCUCAUACUGGACGCUGAGGUGCGAAAGCGUGGGGAGCAAACAGGAUUAGAUACCCGCGUAGUCCCUGUCUCUUAUAC
Molecule: ribosomal RNA, 301 nt
Filed under: uncultured bacterium
Lineage: Bacteria
Description: partial 16S ribosomal RNA
Rfam family: Bacterial small subunit ribosomal RNA
Source: RNAcentral